CAAAAACAUCGCCUCCCGCAAAAAUCAACGUAUAGGAGGUCUUGCCUGCCCAGUGACUAUAAGUUAAACGGCCGCGGUAUUUUGACCGUGCAAAGGUAGCGCAAUCACUUGUCUUUUAAAUGAAGACCUGUAUGAAUGGUGGAACGAGGGCUUAACUGUCUCCCCCCUCUAGUCAAUGAAAUUGAUCUACCCGUGCAGAAGCGGGUAUAAUAAUACAAGACGAGAAGACCCUUUGGAGCUUAAGACAAAAGACCAACUAUGUCAAAAGUCCUAAAAAUAGACUAAACCAAAUAGCACUGGUCCCAGUCUUCGGUUGGGGUGACCGCGGGAGAAAAUAAAGCUCCCAUGCGGACUGGGGUAACCCCCUAAAACUGAGAGAGACAUCUCUAAGGCACAGAACAUCUGACCAAAAAGAUCCGGCCAUACGCCGACCAACGAACCAAGUUACCCUAGGGAUAACAGCGCAAUCCCCUUCCAGAGUCCAUAUCGACAAGGGGGUUUACGACCUCGAUGUUGGAUCAGGACAUCCUAAUGGUGCAGCCGCUAUUAAGGGUUC
This 556-nucleotide ribosomal RNA is filed under the name Panaque nigrolineatus (royal panaque). RNAcentral's name for it is "partial 16S ribosomal RNA". It matches the Rfam family "Bacterial large subunit ribosomal RNA", at positions 1808 to 2574 of the family's 2925-position model. The record is from RNAcentral. Lineage: Eukaryota; Metazoa; Chordata; Actinopteri; Siluriformes; Loricariidae.